This is a long non-coding RNA of Triticum aestivum (bread wheat), 286 nucleotides long. RefSeq lists it as uncharacterized. The transcript has 3 exons. Lineage: Eukaryota; Viridiplantae; Streptophyta; Magnoliopsida; Poales; Poaceae. The record is from RefSeq and is a predicted model, not a curated record.
ACCGUAGUCGUCUUACCCCUGAAAUCUUAGAGGCCUUGAUGUGUUCACAAGAUUGGAUAAGAAACAAAUAUAAAGAUGCUGACAAUGAAGAUGGACAAAGCUUUUGGAGUUGUCUUCAAGACAUUCAAGAGGGAAUGCAGGACUUGGCACUCUGAAUUGGCAUGCUUUGAAGAUUGUCUUUUGGAGGCUUGGAGAUGUGAAAGAUGCCAUGAUGAUGACCACUUUAAAUUGAUUUGUGAACUACAAAAUCUAUUUUAGAACUUAUGUAUUGGACAAUUUCGUAUCA